This 774-nucleotide ribosomal RNA is filed under the name uncultured Neocallimastigales. RNAcentral's name for it is "partial large subunit ribosomal RNA". It matches the Rfam family "Eukaryotic large subunit ribosomal RNA", at positions 20 to 616 of the family's 3401-position model. The record is from RNAcentral. Lineage: Eukaryota; Fungi; Neocallimastigomycota; Neocallimastigomycetes; Neocallimastigales.
UACUAGAGUAGCACUCGCAUAUCAAUAAGCGGAGGAAAAGAAACUAACAAGGAUUCCCCUAGUAACGGCGAGUGAAGCGGGAAGAGCUCAAAUUUGAAAUCUUAAAGGGUUUCCCUUUACGAAUUGUAGUUUAAAGAAGUGUUUUCUGUUGAGGUUUUGGUAAAAGUUCUUUGGAAUAGGACAUCAUAGAGGGUGAGAAUCCCGUAUUUGACCUUUACUUUCAACUUUGUGAUACACUUUCAAAGAGUCGGAUUGUUUGGGAAUGCAGUCCAAAAUGGGUGGUAAAUUUCAUCUAAAGCUAAAUAUUGGCGAGAGACCGAUAGCGAACAAGUACCGUGAGGGAAAGAUGAAAAGAACUUUGAAAAGAGAGUUAAACAGUACGUGAAAUUGUCAAAAGGGAAGCGUUUGACACCAGUGCUGUUUUUCUGAAAAUCAAUUAAAGAACUGUUUAUGCUAAGUUGUUUAGACUUUAUCAGCUAACUGUUUAGUUUUGAGCUUUUCUUUAAUGCACUUUUCAGUUAACAAGUCAACAUCAAUUUCUUUUGCUGUAAAAAAGCUUGAGGAAGGUGGCUUGAGAUUCGUCUUAAGUGUUUAUAGCCUCUUGCCUAUGCAGUCGGAGAGAUUGAGGUCUGCAGCGUAGAUCCUUCGGGGCUAAAUGCAUUUGUGCUAAGUUAUAGCAUUUUAUAGACAACUUGUUGACUAUGAUUUGUCUUGUAGCUUACUCGCUUAUGUUAUUUUACCUACGCUUAGGAUGUUGAGCGCAUGUCUCUCUCU